RNAcentral lists this ribosomal RNA (207 nucleotides) under uncultured bacterium. RNAcentral describes it as "partial 16S ribosomal RNA". It matches the Rfam family "Bacterial small subunit ribosomal RNA", at positions 568 to 774 of the family's 1533-position model. The record is from RNAcentral.
CUCGUAGGCGGUUCGUCGCGUCCGGUGUGAAAGUCCAUCGCCUAACGGUGGAUCUGCGCCGGGUACGGGCGGGCUUGAGUGCGGUAGGGGAGACUGGAAUUCCCGGUGUAACGGUGGAAUGUGUAGAUAUCGGGAAGAACACCAAUGGCGAAGGCAGGUCUCUGGGCCGUCACUGACGCUGAGGAGCGAAAGCGUGGGGAGCGAACA